Molecule: ribosomal RNA, 484 nt
Filed under: uncultured bacterium
Lineage: Bacteria
Description: partial 16S ribosomal RNA
Rfam family: Bacterial small subunit ribosomal RNA
Source: RNAcentral
ACUCAAAUGAAUAGACGGGGGAGCGCACAACCAGUGGAGCAUGUGGUUUAAUCCGAGACGAAGCGAAGACCUUACCUAGGUUUGACAUGUACCUGCAAGCUUUUGGAAACAUUAGCCGCCUUCGAGGGUGGUACACAGGUGAUGCAUGGCUGUCAUCAGCUCGUGGCGUGAGUCGUCUGCUUAAGUGCAGGAACGAGCGCAACCCCUGCUGUGUGUUGUAUUUCACACAGGACUGCUCAUCUACAAGAUGGGAGGAAGGAGGGGAUGAUGUCAAGUCUUCACGUCCCUUACAUCUAGGGCCACACACAUCCUACAAUGGCGUCGACAACGGGUCGCGACGGGGUAACCCUGAGCUAAUCCUAACAAAUGACGCCUCAGUUCAGAUUGAGGGCUGAAACUCGCCCUCAUGAAGUUGGAAUUGGUAGUAAUCGCGAAUCAGCUGGUCGCGGUGAAUACGUUCUCGCUCCUUGUACACACCGCCCGU